RNAcentral lists this ribosomal RNA (496 nucleotides) under uncultured bacterium. Its description in RNAcentral is "partial 16S ribosomal RNA". It matches the Rfam family "Bacterial small subunit ribosomal RNA", at positions 28 to 507 of the family's 1533-position model. The record is from RNAcentral.
GAUGAACGCUGGCGGCGUGCCUAAUACAUGCAAGUCGAGCGACGGACGAGAAGCUUGCUUCUCUGAUGUUAGCGGCGGACGGGUGAGUAACACGUGGAUAACCUACCUAUAAGACUGGGAUAACUUCGGGAAACCGGAGCUAAUACCGGAUAAUAUUUUGAACCGCAUGGUUCAAAAGUGAAAGACGGUCUUGCUGUCACUUAUAGAUGGAUCCGCGCUGCAUUAGCUAGUUGGUAAGGUAACGGCUUACCAAGGCAACGAUGCAUAGCCGACCUGAGAGGAUGAUCGGCCACACUGGAACUGAGACACGGUCCAGACUCCUACGGGAGGCAGCAGUAGGGAAUCUUCCGCAAUGGGCGAAAGCCUGACGGAGCAACGCCGCGUGAGUGAUGAAGGUCUUCGGAUCGUAAAACUCUGUUAUUAGGGAAGAACAUAUGUGUAAGUAACUGUGCACAUCUUGACGGUACCUAAUCAGAAAGCCACGGCUAACUACGUG